Molecule: long non-coding RNA, 466 nt
Organism: Carassius auratus (goldfish)
Lineage: Eukaryota; Metazoa; Chordata; Actinopteri; Cypriniformes; Cyprinidae
Exons: 2
Source: RefSeq, a predicted model, not a curated record
UGUUUGUUGCUGCUGUUUGUAGAAAAGAUUAAAAGCACGAGACCCUGCUACCGCAACUGUCAAGACUGGCUCGCUCUGUGUUUAGUGUCCCGUCUGCAGCAGCAGCAGCGAACGUGUCUUCAGCGCAGCGGGAAGAGUGAUAGAAGAGAGGAGGACUGGGUUAAAACCUUCCACUCUGGGGGCUAUUCUUUUUCUCCACGAUGCUCUGUAAGAGACUGUUCUAACUUUUCAUUAAGACUGGACUUUAUUUUCGUUUAACUGUUGGAAACUAAUGGAAAAAAGAAUUGACAUGUUCUGUGGUGCAUUUUUUGAGGUAAGAUAACCUGUUUGUUUUUAAUUAAAUUAAUUUGUUUAGAUUGUAGUCUAUUUCUCAUUUAGUUUGCGAGCGCUGUUGCGAACCUGCCUAAGUAUUUCAAUUUUUUUUAUUUGAUUUUACUCACUGUGGUUUAAUAAAUAAACAUUUAUU